RNAcentral lists this ribosomal RNA (567 nucleotides) under uncultured Actinomycetes bacterium. RNAcentral's name for it is "bacterial SSU rRNA". It matches the Rfam family "Bacterial small subunit ribosomal RNA", at positions 9 to 593 of the family's 1533-position model. The record is from RNAcentral. Lineage: Bacteria; Bacillati; Actinomycetota; Actinomycetes.
GAGUUUGAUCCUGGCUCAGGACGAACGCUGGCGGUGUGCCUAAUACAUGCAAGUCGAACGAGAUCGGGCUUCGGCCCACAUGAUCAGGUGGCGAACGGGUGCGUAACACGUGAGGAACCUGCCCUGAAGACGGGAAUAACCCGAGGAAACUCGGGCGAAUACCCGAUGCCUUCACUUCCCCGCAUGAGGAAGUGAAGAAAGGCUCCGGCGCUUCAGGAGGGCCUCGCGGCCUAUCAGCUUGUUGGUGAGGUAACGGCUCACCAAGGCGUCGACGGGUAGCUGGUCUGAGAGGACGAUCAGCCACACUGGGACUGAGACACGGCCCAGACUCCUACGGGAGGCAGCAGUAGGGAAUCUUGCGCAAUGGGCGAAAGCCUGACGCAGCAACGCCGCGUGGGGGAUGAAGGCCUUCGGGUUGUAAACCCCUUUCAGCAGGGACGAAGCUGACGGUACCUGCAGAAGAAGCUCCGGCCAACUACGUGCCAGCAGCCGCGGUAAUACGUAGGGGGCGAGCGUUGUCCGGAAUUAUUGGGCGUAAAGAGCUCGUAGCGGUUCGGUAAGUCGGGU